RNAcentral lists this unclassified non-coding RNA (234 nucleotides) under Hevea brasiliensis (rubber tree). The record is from RNAcentral. Lineage: Eukaryota; Viridiplantae; Streptophyta; Magnoliopsida; Malpighiales; Euphorbiaceae.
CUAACCAAAAUGUCUUUGAUCUCCAUUUUACUCUGCUCGUCCACAUACUUCUGAUAGAAGGCAACGAGAGCUUUAGCAAUGCUCUGGCGUAUGGCAAAGAUUUGGGAGGUAUGCCCACCACCUCUGACGCGAAUGCGCAUGUCGACGCCGGCGAAAGGAUGUCGUCCAAAGAGGAGGAUGGGCUCGUAAGGCUUGAAACGGUAAAUCUCAGGCUCCACCAGCUCGAUUGGGCAG